Molecule: ribosomal RNA, 220 nt
Filed under: uncultured bacterium
Lineage: Bacteria
Description: partial 16S ribosomal RNA
Rfam family: Bacterial small subunit ribosomal RNA
Source: RNAcentral
AUUGAACGCUGGCGGCAUGCUUUACACAUGCAAGUCGAACGGCAGCACGGGUGCUUGCACCUGGUGGCGAGUGGCGAACGGGUGAGUAACACAUCGGAACAUGCCUAGUUGUGGGGGACAACUACUCGAAAGAGUAGCUAAUACCGCAUGAUAUCUAAGGAUGAAAGCAGGGGGACCCGUUUUCGGGGGUCCGUUGUGCAACUAGAGUGGCCGAUGGCAG